CACUGGUGCAGAAGAAGCCGACCAUGUAUCCUGAGUGGAAGUCGACGUUCGAUGCCCACAUCUAUGAGGGGCGCGUCAUCCAGAUUGUGCUAAUGCGGGCAGCAGAGGAGCCAGUGUCUGAGGUGACCGUGGGUGUGUCGGUGCUGGCCGAGCGCUGCAAGAAGAACAAUGGCAAGGCUGAGUUCUGGUGGACCUGCAGCCUCAGGCCAAGGUGUUGAUGUCUGUUCAGUAUUUCCUGGAGGACGUGGUUGCAAACAGUCUAUGCGCAGUGAGGACGAGGCCAAGUUCCCAACGAUGAACCGCCGCGGAGCCAUCAAACAGGCCAAAAUCCACUACAUCAAGAACCAUGAGUUUAUCGCCACCUUCUUUGGGCAACCCACCUUCUGUUCUGUGUGCAAAGACUUUGUCUGGGCCUCAACAAGCAAGGCUACAAAUGCAGGCAUGUAACGCUGCCAUCCACAAGAAAUGCAUCGACAAGAUCAUCGGCAGAUGCACUGGCACCGCGGCCAACAGCCG
RNAcentral lists this long non-coding RNA (516 nucleotides) under Homo sapiens (human). Its description in RNAcentral is "long non-coding RNA NONHSAT089987.2". Lineage: Eukaryota; Metazoa; Chordata; Mammalia; Primates; Hominidae. The record is from RNAcentral.